Molecule: ribosomal RNA, 91 nt
Filed under: Staphylococcus aureus
Lineage: Bacteria; Bacillati; Bacillota; Bacilli; Caryophanales; Staphylococcaceae
Source: RNAcentral
ACACCUGUUCCCAUGCCGAACACAGAAGUUAAGCUCCUUAGCGUCGAUGGUAGUCAAACUUACGUUCCGCUAGAGUAGAACGUUGCCAGGC